CUCCAUCAGCUCAACACCUUCUGUUAGUAGUAUGUUUAGUAGUGGUACCAAAGUUGACAAUGUUGCUUAUACUGAAGUACUUUUCGCGAACAAUGCAUUCCUGAUGGCUGACCACAUUAGUGACCUAAUCAAGGCUGAGUUUCCAGACUCUUAACUGCACAGAGGUUUGCCUGUAAGAGGACCAAGACAACCCACAUCGUCACACAAGCUUUAGCACCACACUGCCAGUGGGACAGUAAAGUAAAUGACAUGUGUGGUAGUGAGAAAUUCACAGUAAUGAUAGAUGAGUCAAAUGACAGACUUGACAACAAGAAGCUCAACACCC
This 325-nucleotide long non-coding RNA is filed under the name Mytilus galloprovincialis (Mediterranean mussel). The record is from RNAcentral. Lineage: Eukaryota; Metazoa; Mollusca; Bivalvia; Mytilida; Mytilidae.